AGGAUGAACGCUGGCGGCGUGCCUAAUACAUGCAAGUCGAGCGGUAAGGCCACUUCGGUGGUACACGAGCGGCGGACGGCUGAGUAACACGUAGGAACGUACCCCAAAGUGAGGCAUAAGCACCAGAAAUGGUGUCUAAUACCGCAUGUGGCCUAACAGGCUAAAGCUCCGGCGCUUUGGGAACGGCCUGCGCAUGAUUAGCUUGUUGGUGAGGUAAAAGCUCACCAAGGCAGUGAUCAUUAGCUGGUCUGAGAGGAUGACCAGCCAGACUGGGACUGAGAACGGCCCAGACUCCUACGGGAGGCAGCAGUAGGGAAUUUUUCCACAAUGGGCGAAAGCCUGAUGGAGCAACGCCGCGUGCAGGAUGAAGGCUCUAGGGUCGUAAACUGCUUUUAUCUGUGACGAAUAUGACGGUAGCAGAUGAAUAAGGAUCGGCUAACUCCGUGCCAGCAGCCGC
RNAcentral lists this ribosomal RNA (457 nucleotides) under uncultured bacterium. RNAcentral's name for it is "SSU rRNA". It matches the Rfam family "Bacterial small subunit ribosomal RNA", at positions 26 to 518 of the family's 1533-position model. The record is from RNAcentral.